CCUACGGGUGGCAGCAGUGGGGAAUAUUGGACAAUGGGGGCAACCCUGAUCCAGCCAUGCCGCGUGUGUGAAGAAGGCCCUCGGGUUGUAAAGCACUUUCAGUGAGGAAGAACGCCUGGUGGUUAAUACCCAUCAGGAAAGACAUCACUCACAGAAGAAGCACCGGCUAACUCCGUGCCAGCAGCCGCGGUAAUACGGAGGGUGCGAGCGUUAAUCGGAAUUACUGGGCGUAAAGCGCGCGUAGGUGGCUUGAUAAGCCGGUUGUGAAAGCCCCGGGCUCAACCUGGGAACGGCAUCCGGAACUGUCAAGCUAGAGUGCAGGAGAGGAAGGUAGAAUUCCCGGUGUAGCGGUGAAAUGCGUAGAGAUCGGGAGGAAUACCAGUGGCGAAGGCGGCCUUCUGGACUGACACUGACGCUGAGGUGCGAAAGCGUGGGUAGCAAACAGGAUUAGAUACCCCUGUAGUC
Molecule: ribosomal RNA, 465 nt
Filed under: Vreelandella stevensii
Lineage: Bacteria; Pseudomonadati; Pseudomonadota; Gammaproteobacteria; Oceanospirillales; Halomonadaceae
Description: partial 16S ribosomal RNA
Rfam family: Bacterial small subunit ribosomal RNA
Source: RNAcentral